GACACCCAUUCUUCUUUGCUCCACCCUCAUGUCACCUCAGCUAAUAGCCAAUGUAUGUUCAUUAAAUCUCAAUUUUCUCCCAGCUUCUUCCCUCUCCCUCCUCCUCUUCUUCUUUACCCAUUUGUUCUGAUUCAAAGGAAUCAUAUGGUUCUGUUUUGUAAUGCACUUCUUUGUGGAUUAAGCAUGGGUAUGCCGUACCAAAAUAUGAUAAUUUAAUAUUUAAAAGUACAAAAGCAUAUACAUUAAUGAAUGCGUAAGUCAGAAAAUUAAUCA
RNAcentral lists this long non-coding RNA (273 nucleotides) under Elaeis guineensis (African oil palm). RNAcentral describes it as "long non-coding RNA (EGUI_LNC016997)". The record is from RNAcentral. Lineage: Eukaryota; Viridiplantae; Streptophyta; Magnoliopsida; Arecales; Arecaceae.